Molecule: ribosomal RNA, 301 nt
Filed under: uncultured bacterium
Lineage: Bacteria
Description: partial 16S ribosomal RNA
Rfam family: Bacterial small subunit ribosomal RNA
Source: RNAcentral
CAGCCGCCGCGGUAAUACGUAGGUGGCAAGCGCUGUCCGGAAUUAUUGGGCGUAAAGGGCUCGCAGGCGGUUUCUUAAGUCUGAUGUGAAAGCCCCCGGCUCAACCGGGGAGGGUCAUUGGAAACUGGGAAACUUGAGUGCAGAAGAGGAGAGUGGAGUUCCACGUGUAGCGGUGAAAUGCGUAGAGAUGUGGAGGAACACCAGUGGCGAAGGCGACUCUCUGGUCUGUAACCGACGCUGAGGAGCGAAAGCGUGGGGAGCGAACAGGAUUAGAUACCCGAGUAGUCUCUGUCUCUUAUAC